GACCUUUGGUGGCGUAGUAGUUUGAGUGUUGGACUGUGACUCUGGAGACCAGGGUUCGAUUCCCCGCUCGGCCA
Phrynosoma platyrhinos (Desert horned lizard) is the source of this 74-nucleotide non-coding RNA. NCBI's taxonomy places the organism in Eukaryota, Metazoa, Chordata, Lepidosauria, Squamata, Phrynosomatidae. The record is from the annotation of a GenBank genome assembly.